Molecule: long non-coding RNA, 582 nt
Organism: Talpa occidentalis (Iberian mole)
Lineage: Eukaryota; Metazoa; Chordata; Mammalia; Eulipotyphla; Talpidae
Exons: 3
Source: RefSeq, a predicted model, not a curated record
CGCCCGCAGCCCUUGCCCCUCCACGCAGAGUGGGGUGGCUGGCGCCCAGCAGAGCGGCCCUGGAGGCGCCCAGCAGAGCGGUCCUGGAGGCCGUCGCAGAGCAUGUCCCAGCCCCGCUGAGGCUGAGUGGGGGCCGGCUGAGACACCGCGCAGGAUGAAAGAAAAAAAGAGCGACUUGGACGAUGAGCAGAGAUGUCCAGCAUCAGAUCUUGACCAGAAAGUUGGACAAGUGGGACCUUCCCUUCGCGGACAGUAGAGGAGCGAGUUGAUUACAUUGUUGCUUCUGGUCAGACCAAAGUACAGAACAGCUGCGAAGGAGAACUUGCUUUUUAACUGGAAGCGCACCGGGACUAUCAGAACCAGGACAGUGGACGAAGCUGGACACAGGGUCUCUUGUCCACGCAGCCCAGGUCAGCAGGAUGAAAGAGCCUGUCCUGGUUUCAGCUCGCAGGGACGGAGAAAGGCGUUUGCGGUUGCCUGGCCGGGGUGAUGGCUGCUGUUUUCUGCCCGUGCCCUCCCCGGUUCUGUAGCCUCGUUCCACUUAACACGUCCAUUGUCCCAUUUGUUAUUAUCAACCAAAAU